UACGUAGGGUGCUAGCGUUGUUCGGAAUCAUUGGGCGUAAAGCGCGUGUAGGUGGUUAGGUAAGUUAGGUGUGAAAGCCCUCGGCUCAACCGAGGAAGUGCAUCUAAAACUACCUAGCUAGAGGACGGUAGAGGAAGGUGGAAUUCCUAGUGUAGAGGUGAAAUUCGUAGAUAUUAGGAGGAAUACCGGUGGCGAAGGCGGCCUUCUGGGCCGUUCCUGACACUGAGACGCGAAAGCGUGGGGAGCAAAC
Molecule: ribosomal RNA, 250 nt
Filed under: uncultured bacterium
Lineage: Bacteria
Description: partial 16S ribosomal RNA
Rfam family: Bacterial small subunit ribosomal RNA
Source: RNAcentral